RNAcentral lists this ribosomal RNA (554 nucleotides) under fungal sp. GZ-2010a. Its description in RNAcentral is "eukaryotic LSU rRNA". The stretch from base 228 to 381 matches the Rfam family "5.8S ribosomal RNA". The record is from RNAcentral. Lineage: Eukaryota; Fungi.
UGGAAGUAAAAGUCGUAACAAGGUCUCCGUUGGUGAACCAGCGGAGGGAUCAUUACUGAGUUUACGCUCUACAACCCUUUGUGAACAUACCUAUAACUGUUGCUUCGGCGGGUAGGGUCUCCGUGACCCUCCCGGCCUCCCGCCCCCGGGCGGGUCGGCGCCCGCCGGAGGAUAACCAAACUCUGAUUUAACGACGUUUCUUCUGAGUGGUACAAGCAAAUAAUCAAAACUUUUAACAACGGAUCUCUUGGUUCUGGCAUCGAUGAAGAACGCAGCGAAAUGCGAUAAGUAAUGUGAAUUGCAGAAUUCAGUGAAUCAUCGAAUCUUUGAACGCACAUUGCGCCCGCCAGCAUUCUGGCGGGCAUGCCUGUUCGAGCGUCAUUUCAACCCUCAAGCUCUGCUUGGUGUUGGGGCCCUACAGCUGAUGUAGGCCCUCAAAGGUAGUGGCGGACCCUCCCGGAGCCUCCUUUGCGUAGUAACUUUACGUCUCGCACUGGGAUCCGGAGGGACUCUUGCCGUAAAACCCCCAAUUUUCCAAAGGUUGACCUCGGAUC